GAAACUGUGCUUGAAGUUGGAUGCACUGUCUCAUUUCCACUUCACUCCAAAACCGGUGAUAGAAGAUAUGUCUAUCCAAGCAAAUGUCCCUGCACUUGCCAUGGAAGAGAUUGCACCUAUGGCGGUCUCUGAUGCAGCUAUGCUGGCUCCCGAGGAAGUAUUUACUGGCAAAGGAGAUGUUAAAGAAGAAACAGAGUUGACACAAGCAGAGAGAAAAAGGAGGAGGGCGAACAAGAAAAGGAAAUUUAAAGCUGAGUCAGCAAAAAGAACAGUAAAGCCGGCACCAGAAAAUACAUUAACUAAUGGCGUUGAGGGUAAUGAUAAGUCAUAAAAGUGAACCAAAACUGAACCGGAGUGGAGCUCUCAUGCCUCCCUCGCUUAAAUAGCGGUAACAUUUUUUUGGCACCAAAUGGUUUGUGUCCUUUCUCAGCCAGAGUGCGAGCUGAAUGAUUUGUGUUCAGCGCUCCAUCCAUAUAGAAGACGACGAUAAUUACCAUUGUGGCCUCAUUACUGUGCUACUUUUGCAUUUCAGGAAGUAAAUGUCGUUGCCAGGCGAGAAAAAUGAGUUGCUUCGUAUGAUAGGAAACUUCACUACAAUGUAAUGUAUUUUUUUGAUAGCAAUUUGGUUGAAAAAAGAGUGUUGUUUCACAAGAUAGAAGACUUCAUUACGUUGUAAUGUAUUUUUAUUAACAGCAAUUCGGUGGUCUUAAGAUUUUACAAUGUAAAAUAUGGAAC
RNAcentral lists this unclassified non-coding RNA (735 nucleotides) under Hevea brasiliensis (rubber tree). Lineage: Eukaryota; Viridiplantae; Streptophyta; Magnoliopsida; Malpighiales; Euphorbiaceae. The record is from RNAcentral.